UCCCAGUUGAAGACAUGUGGCUGUGCCCUGUGAACUAUAAAUAAAUUAGCAUAAUUUGUUGUGAAGCAGUUUCUUGAUGAAUGUGUUAUCCUUAAAUUGGUUUUCAUUGGCAAAAACUGUUUUAAUUUCUUUUUUUUUUUUUAGAUUGUCAACAUUUCUGCAAAGAAAAUACUGCUCAUAGACCCCAUGAGGAAUGAAGGUUUAUGACAGGAAAAUUCUGCGUAACUGAGGGCAUGUAUGAUACUGAGGUAUUAUUCUUAGAAAAAACAUUUCUUGUUUCAUUAUAAAUUGCUUUUUCAACUAGGAAAUAUCUGAGGAUGAGAGGGCAUGAAGACACCAUGGAGUGGCAGUUACAGACUCUGCAACACAAUAAGCAACAGGAUUCCAGCAGUUGCGGAGUUUUACUGUUAAAAUUUGCAGAAAACUACCUUGCUUUUGGAGAGGUCAGUGGUCACUACGGAAGUAGUUGUACUGGAGCGAAUACAGAUAGCUUGCACCCUAUUUGAACAUCGAGGGAACCCUGAGGACUACUGCAUUGUUUGCUCUAUGUUAGAUGCUGAACGCAGCAUGUUUGAAAUGGUGCAGUGUGAUUCUUGCCAAAGAUGGGCACAUUUUGAAUAUGUAAAAUAUAAGGAGAGCAACCUAGAAUAUAAAUGCAAAAAAUGUGAGGAAAACAUGUAACAACUUCUAAUAAAAACAGCUGUCUUUUCCCCUCCAUUUCUCCUUAUAUUCUGUGUUAACAUUAGAUGAAUGUGUGCUGGAAGCAUGUUUUGAUAGUGUGAUUUGGCCAUCAGAACAUCCUACCUAUAGAUAUGUACAAUGGAGGCAUAAACCACGUAAGAUAGCACGGAUCGAUAGACAUGACUAUAAAUUUACUCUACGGUAGGAUGUUUUGACAAACUUGGAUGUUUUGUCAGAACACCGGCAGCAGCCCAGGAAUAAAGCCCCCUAAGAUCUACUUCUCUCUGAGGUAGCACAAGAAAGCAGGAUCUCUUCCCCGCUUCCUCCGAUGAGGCCCCUUAUUGUUAUUCAUUGUUUUAGUUAUCUUUAUUGUGUUCUGCUUGUGUUAUAUUCUUAGUUCCUAGGAUUUAGGUUUCUGUUACUUUGCCUUCCCCCGUGUUCCACGUCUAGUCACUCAUCUCCAUGUUCCCUCUGUCUCCCCAGUCAGCUAUAUCUCUAUGUCUCAGUGUCAAAUUUGCAUCUUUGUGAAUGUCUCUUGUUUCCUGUUUUACUUUGAUAGUCUUGUGUUCAGUGCUUUAAGUUUUGCUUCCCCUUUUUCUCAUCAUGUUUGAUUAGUGUCAGCUGUGUUCUCCUCCUGUUUGCCAUUUCCUCAUUACGCUCUGUGUGUGUAUUUAUAGCGUGUGUGAUUUCCUCUGUCCUUUGUUGGAUCGUCUGUGUGACCUCUGCGUUUUCACCUAUUCAUCAUCCCCUGCUCUUCACCCCUCAUGUUCCGUGUCGUCAGGUUUCAGGUUUUCUUGUUCUAUGUUUCAGAUUUCAGCAUUAUUUUUUCCCAGUUUAGGUUUUUGUUAGUUCUUUUCCUGUUCUCCCUCGCUAGUUAUUUUUGUAAUGUCCUCCUUCAGCCAACAAUAAAGGCUUGCCUUUUGUUAUUACCCACUUCAUCUUUAUAUACACUACUGGUCAAAGGUUUUAGAACCCCACAAUUUUUCUAGUUAUUUAUUGAAAUUCAAGUUGUCCAAGUCCAAUGAAUAGCUGGAAAUGGUAAAUGGUUAAAAAAAAUGUAAGGUUAACCAAAACAGAAAAAUAAUGCAUAUUUCAUAAUUAUUUUUCAGGGAACAAAGGAAAACACUUACAAAUGUAAGUCUUUCACACAGAGAAAUUGCAAAGAAAGUCAACAUGUCAGUGAGUAAAGUUUCCUUCACCAUCAAAAGGCACUCAGAAACUGCAGCAAACUCUGACAGGAAGACGUCAGGCAGACCCAAAGCCACAACUAAUUCAGAGGACAAGUUUCUGAGAGUUAACAGCUUGCAUGAUAGGCAGCUCACAGGACAACAGCUUCAAGCACAGCUCAAAAGUGGUCGUCAUAAGCAAGUCUCAGUUUCAACUGUGAAGAGAAGAUUUCCAGCUGCAGGUUUGACAGGAUGAGUUGCAGCACGAAGAAGAAGGUAUUUUAGAAUGAACUGGACACGAGAGAAAGCAAAGCAACCUACAAGUGCCACACAUUUAUGGGAACCUCUGCAACAGAUAUAGGAAGAAAUUUUCCAUAUUUUAGUCUAUAAGUUGAUUCCAUUAUUAUUAUUUUUUUGCUCCAGUUGCUUAUUGGUACUCUGCUUUUAUUUCAGUGCAAUGAGACAUUAAACUGCAUAAUUGUCAAUAAAAAACAGGAAAUAUUGGGG
Oreochromis aureus is the source of this 2354-nucleotide long non-coding RNA. NCBI's taxonomy places the organism in Eukaryota, Metazoa, Chordata, Actinopteri, Cichliformes, Cichlidae. The record is from Ensembl.